Vidua chalybeata is the source of this 540-nucleotide long non-coding RNA. RefSeq lists it as uncharacterized. NCBI's taxonomy places the organism in Eukaryota, Metazoa, Chordata, Aves, Passeriformes, Viduidae. The transcript is spliced from 3 exons. The record is from RefSeq and is a predicted model, not a curated record.
UGGAAUGGUGUUUGAGCCACGGCUGUUCCAGGCCUUGUUCCCUGAAUGAUGGAUGAGUAAUUCCAAAGCCCUGCUCUCACUCUCCAUCAAUAACAGCAGUUAGGAGGUUUCCUGCAGCUCCUUCAGGCCCUGCAAGGCCACACUGAGCUCACCCCAAAGCUUCUCCUGCCCAGGAAUUCACACAGGAUGGAAAACGUUCCUGCAGAAGGUGGGGACAGCAGUGAUGACAUUCGGGCUGUCAGGGCCGCUCCUCUGGCCACCAGCAGGACUUCCUGGUCAGCAGUCCCCUGGAUCUGGAGAGAUGCCACCCAGUAAUCACUUUUCUGGCAGCUUGUUCCCUCUUUUCUGAACAUCCUGGGACAACACACGAGCCAACAGUGGCGAAAUCCCUCGAUGACUUCAGCGAUUUCAUCCCUCAGUGCAAAUAGGGGUGACUUAUCUCACAUCACACACGGAGCUGUUUGUGGCCCCUGGGGACACUUUGGUCACCCAUGGCACGGCCAGGCUGCUGUGAGAGGACCAAGCAGCUCCUUGGUUAAU